Molecule: ribosomal RNA, 422 nt
Filed under: Sarcophyton elegans
Lineage: Eukaryota; Metazoa; Cnidaria; Anthozoa; Malacalcyonacea; Alcyoniidae
Description: eukaryotic LSU rRNA
Rfam family: Eukaryotic large subunit ribosomal RNA
Source: RNAcentral
CGAGACGUGCCCGGGUGCGACGCACGGACGGCGCACUUCUGGAGGGCGAGCGUCAGUGUCUGUCGCCGACGAGCGAUAAGGUCGCGAGAAAGGUAGACGUACCCGCCCGGGCGCGUUGUUAAGACUCGCGUACGCGUAGCGCGACGACGACCGUGAAUGCUGACGACCACACGGCUCCAUCCGACCCGUCUUGAAACACGGACCAAGGAGUCUAACAUGUGCGCGAGUCUCCGGGCGAACGAAACCCGCGGGCGCAAUGAAAGUAAAGGCCGUCCUUGCGACGGUUGAGGUGAGAAGCGCUAACGCGCCGCAUCAUCGACCGACCUGUCCUGCUCUCAGGAAGGUUUGAGUAAGAGCGUAUCUGUUGGGACCCGAAAGAUGGUGAACUAUGCCUGAGUAGGGUGAAGCCAGUGGAAACACUG